This 1291-nucleotide ribosomal RNA is filed under the name Clostridiaceae bacterium FH024. RNAcentral's name for it is "bacterial SSU rRNA". It matches the Rfam family "Bacterial small subunit ribosomal RNA", at positions 96 to 1454 of the family's 1533-position model. Lineage: Bacteria; Bacillati; Bacillota; Clostridia; Eubacteriales; Clostridiaceae. The record is from RNAcentral.
CGCCGGACGGGUGAGUAACACGUGGGGGAACGUGCCGUCGAAAGUGGGGGAUAGCCUUCCGAAAGAGGAAUUAAUACCGCAUAAAGCCAAGUUUCACAUGGAAUUUGGAUGAAAGGAGUAAUUCGCUUUGAGAUGGACCCGCGGCGCAUUAGUUAGUUGGUGGGGUAAUGGCCUACCAAGACAGCGAUGCGUAGCGACCUGAGAGGGUGAUCGGCCACAUUGGAACUGAGAUACGGUCCAGACUCCUACGGGAGGCAGCAGUGGGGAAUAUUGCACAAUGGGCGAAAGUGGAUGCAGCAACGCCGCGUGAGUGAUGAAGGUCUUCGGAUUGUAAGCUCUGUCUUUGGGACGAUAAUGACGGUACCAAAGGAGGAAGCCACGGCUAACUACGUGCCAGCAGCCGCGGUAAUACGUAGGUGGCGAGCGUUGUCCGGAUUUACUGGGCGUAAAGGGUGCGUAGCGGAUGUUAGUGAGAUGUGAAUACCGGGCUAACUUGGGUGCUGCAUUUCAACUGGAUAUCUAGAGUGCAGAGAGAGAUGGAUUCUAGUGUAGCGGUGAAUGCGUAGAGAUCAGGAGACACCAGUGGCGAAGCGAUUCUCUGGACUGUAACUGACGCUGAGGCACGAAGCGUGGGUAGCAAACAGGAUGAGAUACCUGGUAGUCACGCCGUAACGAUGAGUACUAGUGUAGAGUAUCGACCCUCUGUCCGCGUACACAUUAGUACUCGCUGGAGUACGAUCGCAGAUAAACUCAAGGAUUGACGGGGCCCGCACAAGCAGCGAGCAUGUCGGUUUAAUUCGAAGCAACGCGAAGAACCUUACCUGGACUUGACAUCCCCUGAAUAACCUAGAGAUAGGCGAAAGCUUCGGGGCAGGGAGACAGGUGGUGCAUGGUUGUCGUCAGCUCGUGUCGUGAGAUGUUAGGUUAAGUCCUGCAACGAGCGCAACCCUUAUUGUUAGUUGCUAACAUUCAGUUGAGCACUCUAACGAGACUGCGCGGUUAACGCGGAGGAAGGUGGGGAUGACGUCAAAUCAUCAUGCCCCUUAUGUCCAGGGCAACACACGUGCUACAAUGGGCAGAACAAAGAGAAGCAAUACCGCGAGGUGGAGCCAAACUCAAAAACUGCUCUCAGUUCGGAUUGCAGGCUGAAACUCGCCUGCAUGAAGCUGGAGUUGCUAGUAAUCGCGAAUCAGCAUGUCGCGGUGAAUACGUUCCCGGGCCUUGUACACACCGCCCGUCACACCAUGAGCCUGCCAACACCCGAAGUCGUAGUCUAAGCGUAAGAGACCCC